Molecule: long non-coding RNA, 204 nt
Filed under: Gossypium barbadense (sea-island cotton)
Lineage: Eukaryota; Viridiplantae; Streptophyta; Magnoliopsida; Malvales; Malvaceae
Description: long non-coding RNA (GBAR_LNC021816)
Source: RNAcentral
CCUAAGUUAAAAGCCCCAAAUCAAGUAUCAAAACCCAAAAACCCAUGUUUUUUUUUUUAUCACUAAGAAGAAAAAUACCCCAAACCAGUGCAAUCACCAUGCAAUUUUCUUUGUAACGGUUCUCAAAUGGCUUGAAUUACAGGAUCAUUCUCGUUACUUUCUUUCUCUCUUUAUUUUCGCAAUUUUACUUUGUUGUUGUGUUGA